Molecule: long non-coding RNA, 189 nt
Organism: Neomonachus schauinslandi (Hawaiian monk seal)
Lineage: Eukaryota; Metazoa; Chordata; Mammalia; Carnivora; Phocidae
Exons: 3
Source: RefSeq, a predicted model, not a curated record
ACAUGGGAUGAGGCCACAUCAGAUCCUCAAAACAACAGUAGAGAAAACAGGUGGUUGGACUUGCCCAAGGUCACACAGCUAAUUCCUGCCUUUCCUUGAGAGAAGCCCCCAGGAGACAAACCAGUAUUGCUUGUGUUCCUCACAGCUUAUCUCUGGUAAGCAGGGCUCUAGUUUUCAAACCUAAAGGUC